UGUUCCUCGAGUAGCAGUGUCUUCGUCCACCUCUCUGCACUAUGUCCAGUGGCCUUCUGAAGGCGCUGCGCAGCGACUCCUACGUGGAGCUGAGCCAGUACCGGGACCAGCACUUCUGGGGUGACAAUGAAGAACAGGAAAAAUUACUGAAGAAGAGCUGUACAUUGUAUGUUGGAAAUCUUUCCUUUUACACAACUGAAGAACAAAUCUAUGAACUCUUCAGCAAGAGUGGUGACAUAAAGAAGAUCAUUAUGGGCCUGGAUAAGAUGAAGAAAACAGCAUGUGGGUUCUGCUUUGUGGAAUACUAUUCAAGAGCAGAUGCAGAAAAUGCCAUGAGGUACAUAAACAGAACUCGUCUGGAUGACUGGAUCAUUCGCACAGACUGGGACGCAGGCUUUAAGGAGGGAUGGCAGUAUGGCCGUGGGCGAUCUGGGGGCCAGGUAUGAGAUGAGUAUCGGCAGGACUAUGAUGCUGGGAGAGGAGGCUAUGGAAAACUGGCCCAAAACCAGUGAGUGGUGAGAGCCCCAUCAUGAAAACUCACUCCUUUGGCCUGUUGAAUUUGCCAUGCAUUACCCAAGGUCUGCAAACCUGCCCACUUUUAACAUGCUUUGAUCAAGGUCUCUACUGAGUUCGAAGCCAUUUUAUGGUUGUCCUUUGAAAACUAUUAAAGGACAGAAUCCAAAGGAAUGCCUUUAUUCUGUAGUCUUAGAAUCUUGGCCAUACGUCAGGUUGCCAGAAUGAUUUUAUGUCACCAGGUCAGAAUUUGUGUUCUGUGGCAACAGGUUACAUUUAUCAGCCCAAAACACCACACUUUUUUCAGGAAGCUGGAAAAUUUUAAAAAUUGAUAAUAGGUUCGUGGUCUUCAUUGGGGCCUCAAAAAUUUUAAGUUUGCAGGAAAUAAAAAUGUAAUAAAUGGGGUUUUGCUAUGUUGUACUGUUCUGAAUGUAA
Non-coding RNA from Callorhinus ursinus (northern fur seal), 948 nucleotides. Lineage: Eukaryota; Metazoa; Chordata; Mammalia; Carnivora; Otariidae. The record is from RefSeq and is a predicted model, not a curated record.